GCUCACUUCGGCAACACAUACUAAAAUUGGAAUGAUAUAGAAAAAACUGGCAUAGCCCCUGCGCAAGGAAGACACACAAAUUUGGGAAGGGUUUCAUAUUUAA
This is a small nuclear RNA of Suncus etruscus (white-toothed pygmy shrew), 103 nucleotides long. Lineage: Eukaryota; Metazoa; Chordata; Mammalia; Eulipotyphla; Soricidae. The record is from RefSeq and is a predicted model, not a curated record.